This 293-nucleotide ribosomal RNA is filed under the name uncultured eukaryote. RNAcentral describes it as "partial 18S ribosomal RNA". It matches the Rfam family "Eukaryotic small subunit ribosomal RNA", at positions 6 to 306 of the family's 1831-position model. The record is from RNAcentral.
GGUUGAUCCUGCCAGUAGGCAUAUGCUUGUCUCAAAGAUUAAGCCAUGCAUGUCUAAGUAUAAGCAUUUAUACAGUGAAACUGCGAAUGGCUCAUUAAAUCAGUUAUCGUUUAUUUGAUAGUACCUACUAGAUGGAUAACCUCGGUAAAUCUGACGCUAAUACAUGCAUAAAAUCCCAACCUCUGGAAGGGAUGUAUUUAUUAGAUAAAAAAUCAAUGCCUUCGGGCUCUUUGAUGAUUCAUAAUAACUUGUCGAACCGCAUGGCUUUAGCUGGCGGUGGUUCAUUCAAAUUU